Molecule: ribosomal RNA, 626 nt
Filed under: uncultured bacterium
Lineage: Bacteria
Description: bacterial SSU rRNA
Rfam family: Bacterial small subunit ribosomal RNA
Source: RNAcentral
GGUAACCUGCCCCUGUGCGGGGGAUAACAGGAGGAAACUCCUGCUAAUACCGCAUAGCCAUGAGCACCGCAUGGAGCUCAUGCCAAAUAUCCUUUCGGGGAUAGCGCAGGGAUGGACCUAUGGCGCAUUAGCUGGUUGGCGGGGCAACGGCCCACCAAGGCAACGAUGCGUAGCCGGCCUGAGAGGGCGGACGGCCACAUUGGGACUGAGACACGGCCCAGACUCCUACGGGAGGCAGCAGUAGGGAAUUUUCGGCAAUGGGGGAAACCCUGACCGAGCAACGCCGCGUGAGCGAAGAAGGCCUUCGGGUCGUAAAGCUCUGUUGUAAAGGAAGAACGGCGCAUACAGGAAAUGGUAUGCGAGUGACGGUACUUUACCAGAAAGCCACGGCUAACUACGUGCCAGCAGCCGCGGUAAUACGUAGGUGGCGAGCGUUAUCCGGAAUCAUUGGGCGUAAAGAGGGAGCAGGCGGCCGCAAGGGUCUGUGGUGAAAGACCGAAGCUAAACUUCGGUAAGCCAUGGAAACCGGGCGGCUAGAGUGCGGAAGAGGAUCGUGGAAUUCCAUGUGUAGCGGUGAAAUGCGUAGAUAUAUGGAGGAACACCAGUGGCGAAGGCGACGGUCUGGG